AAACCAUGGUGUGGGCAUCUUCUUAAUAGUUCCUUGAAGCGCUCCCAUGCAUCAUACAAAGUCUCUUGGUCCCAUUGACAAAAAUUGUUUAUAUCACUUUUCAAUUU
Small nucleolar RNA from Ziziphus jujuba (common jujube), 107 nucleotides. NCBI's taxonomy places the organism in Eukaryota, Viridiplantae, Streptophyta, Magnoliopsida, Rosales, Rhamnaceae. The record is from RefSeq and is a predicted model, not a curated record.